This 408-nucleotide ribosomal RNA is filed under the name Pseudomonas sp. RS10. RNAcentral describes it as "bacterial SSU rRNA". It matches the Rfam family "Bacterial small subunit ribosomal RNA", at positions 11 to 421 of the family's 1533-position model. The record is from RNAcentral. Lineage: Bacteria; Pseudomonadati; Pseudomonadota; Gammaproteobacteria; Pseudomonadales; Pseudomonadaceae.
GUUUGAUCCUGGCUCAGAUUGAACGCUGGCGGCAGGCCUAACACAUGCAAGUCGAGCGGAUGAAAGGAGCUUGCUCCUGGAUUCAGCGGCGGACGGGUGAGUAAUGCCUAGGAAUCUGCCUGGUAGUGGGGGACAACGUUUCGAAAGGAACGCUAAUACCGCAUACGUCCUACGGGAGAAAGCAGGGGACCUUCGGGCCUUGCGCUAUCAGAUGAGCCUAGGUCGGAUUAGCUAGUUGGUGAGGUAAUGGCUCACCAAGGCGACGAUCCGUAACUGGUCUGAGAGGAUGAUCAGUCACACUGGAACUGAGACACGGUCCAGACUCCUACGGGAGGCAGCAGUGGGGAAUAUUGGACAAUGGGCGAAAGCCUGAUCCAGCCAUGCCGCGUGUGUGAAGAAGGUCUUCGG